UAAAAUUCAUUCUGAUUUAUUAUGCUUUGCAUGUAGUAAAUACACUGGGAAGUAACAUUUCUUGUUGCAUUAAUUAAAUACCACUAAUUAUGAUUAAUGUUUAUUCUAAUAAGGUCCCAGGUGAGCUCCCAAAGGAAUGCUUUGUAACAAAGCGUCAGUCUUAUGCUUUAAAAGACAAAACAAAACAAAACAAACGAGAACAAAAAUAGGAUCUAAAGCAUACACACAGGUGUGCACAAGUGUUUUUCUUACUAAGGUAGAGUCUUGCUUUGUUUCCCAAGCUGGUCUCAAACUUCUGGGAUCCUCGAGUGAUCCUCCUGCCUCAGCCUCCUGAGUAGUUUGGAUUACAGGCAUGCAUCACUGGGCCUUCUUAUGCUUUUAAUAUUCUGUACCUUUAUUAUUGAUUUAAAAUGCAUUUUGCCUGUUUCUUUAAUAGAUGUUGGAAGUUCUGAUGAAUCUGCAGUCAGGUAGGAUUGUACAGAUUUAAAAAAUUAUGUUAACCAAGGAAAUAUAGGUGGAAGGAACUAACAUCUGUUGAGUGUUGUAUUCGGGGUAGACAUCCUAUUGCACUUAUCGUCUCAUAAAACCAUCACGACAUCUGUGUUCCUAUCAACUACUGUUUGUUUAAAAAACGAGUAUGGGUUGGAGCAGUGGAUUAAUUGGCUCAUGAUCCUCUAGUUAACAAAGUAGCUGACCCACUUUGUCAGCCUGCCUGCCUUCCAAAUCCCUUCUCUUGUUCCUCAGCAUAGGUAGAUAGACAUCCAUGCAGCACUUGGAACAUGGUAUACAUCUGAAGCAGCUUAAUUAAAUUCAUUAAUUUAAUUAACAUCUAAAUUAAUGAGAGUUUAAAUACCUUCAACACCCAUUUAAGGUUAUCGUUAGAAGGUGGUCAGUCCAGAGUCUGUCAUCAUAAAUUUGACAAUUUCAGUGGGAACCGGGAUCUUCUUUUUGCCAUCAGAAGUUUUAGGGCUGAUCUUACUUAGCUUUGGCCACGAGACUGUAAGUUUUACAAAAGCAAGUUUAGGCAAGUCUUAGAAAGUAUUUGAUUUCUCAGUUUGGCUUUCAUUUAGGCUAGUAUUUCUGCUUACUUCCAUCAUACUUUUGGUAGUCUUGUUUAUUUUUCCAUGAAUUUUCUAUAAUCGUGUCUUGAGGUUUUCAAAACGUUCUUCUCUGUUUUUUUUUUUUUUUUUUUUUUGUCUUUGUUAUUUCUUUAAUUCUAUUCGUUUUUCAAAUUCUGCUGGCUAUGUAUUCCCAGAAUCAGAAGCACAUAGAAUUACAGAAUUUUAAGGAAUCUUAGAAUGAAUUAAAACACGUUCUAGUAUUGUCACGUCUGUUGAACAUUCUGGUCAAGGGAUCGUUUAGAUAGAAAACUUGAGUCUCAGAAAGAUUAGGAUUCAAGAAGACAUAGGAAUUGGAAGAAAUGAGAUUUGUACUCAUGUUAAAUCCCAGUAUUCUUCCUACUUUUUAUAUCCUAUUGGCCUGAGUUUUGGUAAUACAAACGGGAGUGAGUCUCGUGCACCCAGUGUCUAGAAUGAGUGUGGAAUUGACUAGUGAAGCCAAUGAAAGCGGGUAAGAAUGGAAUGGGCAGGGCAAGGCCAAGUUUGAAGAGAAACAAUGAUCGAUCGAUAAAUUCCAAAGAUGACCGACACACAGAAUGUUGGGAAUUAUCUACAAAGGCGCCUUAAAAUAGAAGGUUCAAGGGAGCUCUAAAAACUUUGCUGCCUUUUUUUUUUUUAAUUUAUCAAGGACUGACAGAUUUUUACUGAAAGAUGUUAAAACAUUUUGAGACACUGAAGGAGUGGCUACAGCAGAGAGAAAUCUUCGUGGCACCAUCUACUUCCAUCCUGACUUACAGAAGGUGGUUUAGAGCCCCUGGAAUACUAAGGGGCUGGAGAUUGAUGAACUCUACAUAGCUCUGUGGCCCAGGACAGGUGGUCUCCUCACCUCUGC
Molecule: long non-coding RNA, 1950 nt
Filed under: Macaca fascicularis (crab-eating macaque)
Lineage: Eukaryota; Metazoa; Chordata; Mammalia; Primates; Cercopithecidae
Description: lncRNA (ENSMFAG00000051379.1)
Source: RNAcentral